This is a long non-coding RNA of Hipposideros armiger (great roundleaf bat), 353 nucleotides long. RefSeq lists it as uncharacterized. The record is from RefSeq and is a predicted model, not a curated record. The transcript is spliced from 3 exons. Lineage: Eukaryota; Metazoa; Chordata; Mammalia; Chiroptera; Hipposideridae.
UGAAUUUUUUUUUUCUUGAACUAAAAGCGAAAGAAACGCCUAUUUUCUCAAGUGGUUUCUGUAACCGGACUGAAACCGGAACAACGCAGCCCCUUUCUCUCGGUGAGGGCUGUUAGCUGGUAAUCCGCCCAUACUACAUACUUGGAAACCAAGGCAGGCCUUCGAAGAGGUGGCACCCCAGACAGGGCCAUCCCUGAAAAAGAGCUUGGAGUAGAUUUCUCUGAAGAGGAUUUGACUAUUUCAACAGUGUACUUUCUGUUGGUGAAUGUGAGUUUGAGGUAUGGUACUGUGAACCAGGCUGCCACCACUUCAAGACCGAAACUAUUGCCAUGCUGGGGAUGGGUAGAGUAAAG